GUUCAUAGUGCUUCUUCACCCUAGGAAUCUAAAUCAAUGAACGAAAACUGGAGUUUCAACUGCACUAACUUCUCCGCCAUAGUCUUCCUUGCUGUAUCCGAUCGUUGGCCGCGUCAUCUCCAUUUCCCCUGCUUUAACCGAUCAUUCUUCUCCUUCGAACGCGGCCUAGGGCAUAAGCACUGCUUUACUCAAAAGAAAGAGAAGCAUAUGAUUAAGCAUUAUUAGUUUUAAAUAACAAUGGACCUGGACAAGCUGAGACGCGGUGACGCUGCCCUCGACAAAUGUUUAAAGGACUGCGAGCGCAUGAUUCAAAAGAGUCUCAACAAUCCAUUGGUGAAGACCUUGAGGGAACGGAUGGAGAAAGCCGGGUGUCCUGUUAAAGACAAUUUCUUCAAAGCUACGAUCUGUUUAAAUUCUUAUGGUGGUGUUUUUACACCUGGCAAGGGGAUAACCGUGUGCGGAAAUAAGAAACAAAAUCAAGACAAUGUUACGCAGGUGAUAAUUCAUGAGCUAAUUCACGCGUUUGAUGACUGUCGAGUGGCUAACAUGGAUUGGACUAACUGUGCUCACCAUGCUUGUAGUGAGAUAAGAGCUGGUCAUUUAAGUGGUGAUUGUCAUUAUAAACGGGAACUUUUGCGAGGUUUUUUGAGAAUAAAAGGGCACGAACAAGAAUGCAUCAAAAGAAGAGUCAUGAAAUCAUUGGCUGCAAAUCCUUUUUGCGCUGGUUCGACUGCUAAGGAUUCUAUGGAUGCUGUAUGGAAUACUUGUUAUAACGAUACAGCGCCAUUUGAUAAAGCUCCUUAAAGUUUUUGCAACCACUGUUUCCAUUCUUUGGCUUCAUAAUUUCUAAGGUUGAAGGUGACCAUCGUGAUAGAGUUUAUGACACGUUGGAAGAAGUCUCUUGGUGAUUAAAGAGAGGGUACCUGCAAAAUUAUCAUUUCAAUGUUUAAGUUGGCCUAACGUGGAUUGCGGACAAUCGUUGGAUGAAGAUCAACGGUGGAGAUGAAGAUGAAAUACGUGCUCUGACUUGAUGUCCUAGAGCAAAUGAUAGUGUAUGGUGUACAAAAUUGAGCUUGAUCGGCCAACCGCCUCCUGGGAGAACUGGUUGUUGCCACACUCCUCGCUCGGAGAUACAAGUCGGAUUGGUGGACCCUUAUUUAUAACUUUAGAUUCAUUAUGGACCAUAGAAAAACAGUGGUGCACUCAAAACCGUACAAAAAUUAUCGGUAAAUUCUCAACCUUUUAAUUUUCACUCUUUUAUAACUAUCGGGUUUUUCACUCAUGGACGAAAUAUUUGGUAACUUCCUGAUGUUUUCAAAAAUUUGGUAUUAAGCAUACAUUCUGGAUAUUUUGAAAAAUACGGUGCGCCGCAUUUUUCAUAUAUACUACCAGAUUUUUAAGAUUGUUCUACCAGAUAUUUUGUCCAAUUUUUUUCUUAAAUUCUCACAAGGACAGCAUGGGUAUUAUUGAAAUAAAAGGGAUUCCAGGUAUAACCGGGGGUGGAAGGAUAAAACUUCAUGCAAAUGAAUGUAUAUAUAAACAUUAUUAGGUGAUUACUUUGGCUUUCUCUCUUUCUUUUCUAUGUGUGUAUAGUUCUAGCAAGUGGUGUCAAAAUUUGGUUCCACAUGCUUUUAGGGUGGAAUUGUCACAAUUUUAUGUUAUGUGCUUAAUAGGAGUCCAACAAAAAAAAAUAGACGUGGACCUAGAGGUAAUAUGGUCAAGUCACAUUCUAUUUGUUAAGCAUUUGUCAAGCAUUUGAGGAUCUUUGAAUCUUUAUGUUUCAAACACAUAUCAAAGCAAAGAAAGAAGAAACUUGAAUAUAA
This is an RNA transcript of Lathyrus oleraceus (garden pea), 1823 nucleotides long. It is a transcript of the gene named mitochondrial inner membrane protease ATP23, with no coding region annotated. The transcript is spliced from 4 exons. The record is from RefSeq and is a predicted model, not a curated record. NCBI's taxonomy places the organism in Eukaryota, Viridiplantae, Streptophyta, Magnoliopsida, Fabales, Fabaceae.